RNAcentral lists this non-coding RNA (27 nucleotides) under Bombyx mori (domestic silkworm). Lineage: Eukaryota; Metazoa; Arthropoda; Insecta; Lepidoptera; Bombycidae. The record is from RNAcentral.
UGAACCAGGAUUAUCUGAGAGAUUGGU